CUGCGCUUCCUUUAGCUCCACAGGCUUGCUGAAGUUCCUCAGAUGUUGUGGCGGAGAUGAAUUAUAUCUUGUCACUCCCUCUCUGUGACUGUGUAAUGGAUAUCUAAAUCCUGAUCUGUCCAUCACAAAUUUUAUGGAGAAGAAAGAGAUCAAAACAAAACAGAAUGGAGAGUUACCACACCUACAUAUUCAAGAGAGAGAUUCCAUCAACAAGUAGAAAGCACAGAUGAGAGGGAAACACCAAAUAAUUGAAGAUCACUUAUGUCUGUAGUUAAUACAACUUGAUCCAGAACAUCUCUCAUGGGAUUCCUCUAAUAUCCUCCUUUCUCCAAAGCAAAUGAAAAUCCCCUCUCCUAUAUUUUGUUAAUCCCUUGGAGCACUGCUUUUGCUCAUGGCUGGUUAAGAUUCGUUGCUAAGAAACAUGUUAAGGUUCCUGAAUAUGAGUAAAACUAAAUAGUCUAUCAUGUGAUUUUUGAUUUUUCAAUGAACUCUUGUAGAUUAAUAAUUUUGUUUUCCCUCUAGAAAAGCCAUCUGAUCCUUUAUCACUACGUGAAGU
Molecule: long non-coding RNA, 556 nt
Filed under: Cyanistes caeruleus (blue tit)
Lineage: Eukaryota; Metazoa; Chordata; Aves; Passeriformes; Paridae
Description: lncRNA (ENSCCEG00000019305.1)
Source: RNAcentral